AUUGUGCCCGCACUGUGGCAAACACAAGAGGACAUGAAUGGUUGGCGGUGCAGUGUGGUGGAAGUGCAUUGCAGUGGAUCCCAAGGAAACCAGAGGCAAAUUCUGGCUCUGCCACUAGCAAGGCUCUGUGGCUAGGGUACCCCUGUGGAAUUCAGCCUCCUCAUCCGUGAAAUGAAGAAGUGAAACAAAAACAUCUUAAUGUUAUUUCUAACACCUGCUUUCUCUGGAUUCAGCAUCAGAAUAUAUCCAGAUAAGACUGCAAACAACUGAGAGAGCUAAUUCUUUGCUGUUGGUUACCUUCCAAAGAACAGGGGUUGACCUGGUUUUGCUCAUCCUUGUACAUACACCAUCUG
Molecule: long non-coding RNA, 353 nt
Filed under: Homo sapiens (human)
Lineage: Eukaryota; Metazoa; Chordata; Mammalia; Primates; Hominidae
Description: HSALNT0308394
Source: RNAcentral